Molecule: ribosomal RNA, 458 nt
Filed under: uncultured bacterium
Lineage: Bacteria
Description: bacterial SSU rRNA
Rfam family: Bacterial small subunit ribosomal RNA
Source: RNAcentral
AAUGAACGCUGGCGGCGCGCCUAAUACAUGCAAGUCGAGCGAGAAGACGUAGCAAUACGUUUGUAAAGCGGCGAACGGGUGAGGAAUACAUGGGUAACCUACCCUCGAGUGGGGAAUAACUAGCCGAAAGGUUAGCUAAUACCGCGUACGCUCCUUGGACUUCGGUUCAGGGAGGAAAGCGAUACCGUGGGUAUCGCGCUCUUGGUUGGGCUCAUGUCCUAUCAGCUUGUUGGUGAGGAACGGCUCACCAAGGCUUCGACGGGUAGCUGGUCUGAGAGGACGAUCAGCCACACUGGCACUGCGACACGGGCCAGACUCCUACGGGAGGCAGCAGUGGGGAAUAUUGGACAAUGGGCGCAAGCCUGAUCCAGCGAUGCCGCGUGUGUGAAGAAGGCCUGCGGGUUGUAAAGCACUUUCAGUAGGGAAGAAAGACCGAGUGCUAAUAUCACUCGGUCUUG